CGGAAGUAAAAGUCGUAACAGUUUCGUAGGUGAACCUGCGGAAGAUCAUUAUAAUGUCUACGUUUUUUAAGUAGACGCUUAAUAAUCCUACCUUUGUGAAUUUGUUGUUUGAAAUAAUUUUUUUUAAAUUAUUGAUGUCUUUCCCUGUUGAAUUGGUUGUCUAAUGGCAAAUGAUUCGCAGGGAGUGUCAGUAAUUUUAAAAGACCUUUUUAAAAUUAAACUUUUUGUAUUCAUUGUCUAAAUUAUUUUAUAAUAUAAAAACAAUUUGACAAUGGAUCUCUUGGUUCUCGCAACGAUGAAGAACGCAGCAAAUGCGAUAAGUAGUGUGAAUGCAGAAUACGUGAAUCAUCGAAUCUUCGAACGCAUAUUGCACUUUUUAGUUUACUAAAAAAGUAUGUCUGUUUGAGUAUCAGUAAAAUUCUCAUAAAACUUUUGUUUUAUGUUAUGAGUGUUUUACAACGGUACAAGUUGUUCACUUAAAUUUUUUUAAAUUUGAUUUUUCUAAUUUUAAAUAAAUUGGAUAAAAUUUUCCCGUAAAAAGGAAUAACCUAACAAUUUUAAUUUUGAUUAGAAUCUUCAAUUAUAAGGAAAUUAACUAAUAACUUGAUCUCAAUCAGAUAAGAGUACCGCUGAACUUAAGCAUAUCAAUAAGCGGAGGAAAAGAAACUAACAAGAUUCCUUAGUAACGGCGAGUGAAGCGGGAAGAGCUCAAUUUGAAAUCUUCAAGGUUUACCUUGACGAAUUGUAGUUUAAGAAGUGUUUCUGUUGAAGUUUGGUAAAGUUCUUGGAAUAGACAUCAUAGAGGUGAGAAUCCCGUAUUUGACCAUUAUUUUCAGCUGUGUGAUACACUUUCAAAGAGUCGAUUGUUUGGGAAUGCAGUCCAAAAUGGUGGUAAUUUCAUCUAAAGCUAAUAUUGGCGAGAGACCGAUAGCGAACAAGUACGUGAGGGAAAGAUGAAAGAACUUUGAAAGAGAGUUAAACAGUACGUGAAUUGUCAGAAGGAAGCGUUUGACACCAGUGUUGUUUCUCGAAAUCAAUUAAAAAAGUUGGAUUUUGUGUUGUAUUGACCUUAACAGCUUGCUUCACUCUUUUCUUGUUUUUUAAUGCACUUUCGUUAACAAGUCACAUCAGUUCUUUUGUUGUAAAAGGUCAUUGGAAGGUGGCUUUCUCUUCGGAGAAGUGUUUAUAGCUUUGAUCUCUGCAAUCGGAGAGACUGAGGUCUGCAGCGUAGAUCCUUCGGGUUAGAUACAUUUGUGCAAGCUACAGCUUUUCAUAGACAACUUGUUGACUAUGUUUAGUCUUGUAACUUACCCGCUUAUGCUAUUUACUACGCUUAGGAUGUUG
Molecule: unclassified non-coding RNA, 1344 nt
Filed under: uncultured Neocallimastigales
Lineage: Eukaryota; Fungi; Neocallimastigomycota; Neocallimastigomycetes; Neocallimastigales
Description: partial contains small subunit ribosomal RNA, internal transcribed spacer 1, 5.8S ribosomal RNA, internal transcribed spacer 2, and large subunit ribosomal RNA
Rfam family: Eukaryotic large subunit ribosomal RNA (bases 605-1344)
Source: RNAcentral